AGGUUGGCAUCCCCUUCCUUUUUUAGUAUUUGCUUUCAUCCAUUUUACACGUGUGUUUCCUCUCCUCUGCCUGCCUUGCCAGUGAAGCGAUGAUUAUUUUGGGGCAUUGCCUGGGUGAGGUGUAGUGUACCUCAGACUGGCUGUGGUGCUUAUCUUCUGGUUCAGAGACGAAAACAAGUGCAGGAGAAUGGGCUAAGUUUUUAAUCAUCUUCCUUAAUGAUCCCCAGUCUUUCUUAUGUUUCUCAGUGUUCUGAAGACCAUCCAUCAGCUGUCAAGGAACAGGAAUACCCUGAAGGAAGGCCAGACCAGGGGUCUAGAAUAGCCUCCAUCUCCCGUUUGCCAGUUAAGUCCCUUCGUGUCCCAUGCCUGGUUUCUUCAGGUUCAACCUAAUUUCUUUCUGUCCCUGGGGCUUUGCAGUUUUGCUCAUUUUCCUCCCUGAAUUAGGUCUUGUUCUUUGGACAGAAGUAAAACAUAAUAUUUUGUCCCAAGGAAAAAAGUAGUACCACUGGAUUUGAAGGCUUUUGGCUUCCAGCUUUGUAUUUAGAAGCAGAAGACAGUUGGGAAUCUGAAUUAAAUUACACCUCAGUUUAAAAAUCAAAGGAAUAACUGUUUAGGAGCCAAAUGCACUUUGGGUUAAAUCAGUUCAAAGCAUCAGAAAAAUCAUUAGAAAUAUUUGAAGAGGACAGCAGGUGGAUCGGUUUGCAUUUCUUAACCUGUGUCAUUUGAUGUUUUGCUUCCACAGGGAAGCAUGAGGAAUUUCACUGCCUUCCAGCAAUUAAAUUGCAUUCAAGAAUUCUACAGUAGCCUUGGUGGUCUGCAACAACAUUUCAGGGAUUAGAUGCUCUAUCUCCUGUCUAGCAAAGGCCCUUUCAUCUGGACCAGCCCCCACCUGCAACGGCCCCCCAGCAUGCAUUCCCUCUCCCUCAGUCCCUUUCUUUCCUCCUCCCUUUGGACAACAGACAAUAAGAAAUGUAGCAAAAGGCGGAAAUAUGCAGAGAUACAAGCUCAUGAAAAGGAGCACAUGGAAGGUAAUAAAUUAAAUGCCACCCAGCAAGGGUAGGGAGCCUGAGUGUGGAAAGAUGGCAGGGAGUAAGAGGCAGAUCACACAAAGCAGGGCACUAGAGCAAGGGGUGGGAGAGAGUGAGCCUGCAGCUGGACUUCUGGGGAUAGAGGCCGAGCCUGCUGCUGAAGUCACUGUGCCCUCCUGAUGGGUCCUCUGUACCAAGCUGGCCAUCCUCCGAGGGCUGCCACAGCGCUUUCUCUUCUGGCCGGAGCCCUCACUCAUGGAGGUGGAGAGGAUUUGAUUAAUUGGGGGAGAUCUCUUUCACACAGAGAGCCAGCUGCUGGUGAGGGCUGAGCUCUUCAAGGGUGAGGACGCCCAGUGUCCAGGGCUGGCCCUUCCUCCCCGCCCUCCAUGCCCUCCCCUGCCCACAGACCCCAUGCUCAGGUGCCUACAAAUGCACUCACUCAUGAAGAUUCUUUUCCCCAGUCCUGGUGCAAAACUCCAUUUCUUUCUUUCCUGGGGUAAUUGUAUAAGCCCUGGAAAUGAGACUUUUUGGAUGAAAUGGUGCUUUAUUUGUUGGAAAACAGGGUGUGAUGAUUGAGGUUGGAUUAAGUGGGCAGAGGGUGGGAUCUUUCCAGCCCUGGGGCCUUUGACGUAGACAAGUACUUCCUAUAAGCUGUCAAGUGAGAGCGAAGCGAGAGAGAUCAGGCUGGGAGCGGGGAAGGGUGGUUCCUCUCACUCAGCCUCCUCCGGUGUCCCCUCUGACCUCACUGGGCACAGAAGCACCCUCAGCUCUCCAGCCCCUUCAUUCCCCUUCUUAACAGCUCUGCUCCACGGACAGGCUUGGGACUUCAGGGCUUCCCCCUUUUCAGGACAAAUGCAUCAUCUGGGGUGCUUAGCAGGGGGCUCCCCACAUUGCUCAGCUCAUUAAAAGAAAGCCUUGCCUUCAAGUGGCACAGGUAAUGAAGCAUUGCGGGGUGCCUGCCGGCUCUAAUAAGACGGAAUGAACUGAGGGGGAGAAUUAACCUGGUAGGAUUAGUUCACUCUGCAGCAAGAUGCUUGGAAUCGCCUCUUAAACCCCGUGCCGGGAAUCUUAAAUACACUCCUUUCUCAGGAGGGGCACUGGCUGGGGAGGAGGGCACCGGGCUGAGCUAGACAAGACAGGCAGGGCUGCAGGCAGGGGCUGAGCUCUCUGCCAGGGAGUGGCCAGUUUUCUUCCCAGGCCAUGCCUGAGAGUGCUGGGCUGCACCGUAACUGCACAGAUCUGUCUGUCCAACCCAAACGGAUGGUCCAGGCUGUGCCAGGGUUGAUAGGGGAUGGGAGAAGGCAGCUAACCCUUUCAUGGCCAUGCUCUACUUGGUGAUACAAGGGUGGCAUGGGUCUGGGACAGAUGCCCACGUUUGAAAUUGCAGACUUUGGGCUUGCCAGUUCUGGUCACAGGAAGAAAUGGAAAGAACAGAAGGAACACAAAGCCAUGAGACGAAAGGCAUCGGCAUUCGAAAUUCAGCUGUGAGCCUACCCCUUGCCAGGUCUGUGCUGGGUGCUAUGGUGGAGCCAUGAGUAAGGCACGUCCACUGCCUUGAGAUGCUCCUGCACCGCAGGAGAGAUGAGUGUGCAACCAAUGGCAGCGCUAGUUAUGUGGCCAACGAUGGACACUUGUGCUCGAGGACUCGACAAAUUCUGCCCGGCUAAGGGAUAGGAAAGGGCUCAG
Molecule: long non-coding RNA, 2714 nt
Filed under: Pan paniscus (pygmy chimpanzee)
Lineage: Eukaryota; Metazoa; Chordata; Mammalia; Primates; Hominidae
Description: lncRNA (ENSPPAG00000044977.1)
Source: RNAcentral